This 467-nucleotide ribosomal RNA is filed under the name uncultured bacterium. RNAcentral's name for it is "partial 16S ribosomal RNA". It matches the Rfam family "Bacterial small subunit ribosomal RNA", at positions 28 to 507 of the family's 1533-position model. The record is from RNAcentral.
GACGAACGCUGGCGGCGUGCUUAACACAUGCAAGUCGAACGGAAAGGCCCUGCUUUUGUGGGGUGCUCGAGUGGCGAACGGGUGAGUAACACGUGAGUAACCUGCCCUUGACUUUGGGAUAACUUCAGGAAACUGGGGCUAAUACCGGAUAGGAGCUCCUGCUGCAUGGUGGGGGUUGGAAGUUUCGGCGGUUGGGGAUGGACUCGCGGCUUAUCAGCUUGUUGGUGGGGUAGUGGCUUACCAAGGCUUUGACGGGUAGCCGGCCUGAGAGGGUGACCGGCCACAUUGGGACUGAGAUACGACCCAGACUCCUACGGGAGGCAGCAGUGGGGAAUAUUGCACAAUGGGCGGAAGCCUGAUGCAGCAACGCCGCGUGCGGGAUGACGGCCUUCGGGUUGUAAACCGCUUUCGCCUGUGACGAAGCGUGAGUGACGGUAAUGGGUAAAGAAGCACCGGCUAACUACGUG